Molecule: non-coding RNA, 1851 nt
Organism: Ictidomys tridecemlineatus (thirteen-lined ground squirrel)
Lineage: Eukaryota; Metazoa; Chordata; Mammalia; Rodentia; Sciuridae
Source: RefSeq, a predicted model, not a curated record
GGCAGGUAUGAGAAAUUUAGUGAAGACCAAAGGGACCCAAAUCCUUUAAAAACUUAGAUCUAUAAGAGCUAUAUUGUUCUCUCUGGAAGUGCCUAUAUGGUGUGUCCUUACCUCACUCUUUCUAGAAACCUCUGCCUGUUAAAACUUGCUUGAAAUCUUCCCUGCUGCUAGAGAGCCACAUGGUGGCUUCAGCUCAGCAGGUCUCCUCGGCAACACCCUGACCACUAAACUCCUCUGAGUGACUUUAGAGUUCACGCGUCUCCUAAGCCAAUUUCAGUUGAGUUGAAGGCUGAGAUGAAAGGUUGGAAGGAAUCACGUGCCAUCCAUGCCACUCAGACUGCUGACAUGACACAGUGAUCACUGUCACUUACUUAUUGGCAGCCACAGCACUAAUGGCUCCCAGAAGAGCGGGCUUGGUCACUUUCCCUCCAAAUGCUCCUCCAGCUCUUUUCAUGUGGCAGGCGAUUCUACUUCUUGGGACACUGAGUGCUGCAGCCACAUAUUCCUAUAAGAGAAAUGUCCACUCAAAUGCUUUGCUGUAACUGCUUUUGAUGCUGCCCUAAGUUUUUUAGUAACCCUUGGAAGAUGCCUGCUGUGUGGAACUGAUGGUGUUGGUGGUGAGUGGCAAUGGUGAUCUGGACACAUGCACCUUAUCCCUGGAAGCCCAGAACCCAAACCUCUGGCAAAAAGGGACCUCAGGGAUCUUAUUACCUCCCUCAAUUUACAGAAAAGAAUAUUGAUGCCCAGCAACUUUCAAGAGAUCACAAGGCUGCUUAGAGCCAGGAUCGUUUGUGUUUCCAUGUAAAAAUGUUCCUGUCCUUCCACAUGGACCUCACCUGUAAAGCAUGAACACAGGACAAUGUUAAGUCACAGUUAUUCAGAGACCUUCCUUAAGAAGACUGAUGACUUCUGAUCGGAAACUCAAAGAGACCCCUGAUUUAAGAGAGAAGUGGAGAAUCACAGAGGUGGAGGAGUCAUUGGUUUCCAGUUUUUGUGGUGUGCAUGUAAAUCUGUGGAUGUUACAGUGGCAACUGAUAAUCAUUUUGGUCUCUCCAGCAAAGUGUUCAAAUCAUAAACCAUGCACAAAUCACACACCUCAUUCUGUGCAUAAAAAAUCUCUCCGUGAUGGUUAUUAUCCCCUGGAACAUCCUCUGCUGUGAUUACAUCAGCCACACCUGGAAGUGACAGGGCUUCUGAAGUAUCAAUUGAUCUAGCAGGGAAAACAUGAUGGUAGAUAUUAAAGAUGCAGAAGUAAGUUCAUGGCACAAUAUAAACGAUUUCUCAAGUAGAAAAAAAUAUAUGUGGACUUCAUAACUAAAUAAUGGACCAAUAGUCUAUGUUGAAAAAUAUUACUAUCUAGCAGGUGUUCUAACUCUUGGUCAUAGAUUCUUUAAUAACUAUGCUUAAAAAUGACUUUUCUCAACUGGUCCUAAGCACUUCAAUGUCAUGAACAGUGUGGCUGUAAAUAGGGACUUUUGGCUGGUAUUAACAAAUGCCAUGGGCAUCUCUGGAAAAAAAAACAAAAACUUUUUCUUAUCCAGAAGAAGAAAUGAGUAUUCUAAAUUGACUUAAAUAUGCAAUAGCCUCUCAAUUUGAAUGUGAAACUGUGAAUGCAUUUUAGUAACAUAUGGGAACAUCUUUUGUUUCCUUACAUGAUCUUUGCAUGAGCUCUGGUGCUGGUGACUACAGCAAGGAAGAGUUCCUGGUCAAGGCGGGGCAUGUCAUCACAAAAUAUGGCUUCCCCUGUGGCAUGUUUAAUGGCCGACUGGUGCAUGACUGGGUGGCCAACUGGAUCUUGUGGGGAUUGGUGGGGAUCCACACACUGUUAAUGAACAAAGCAAGUAAAAUUUA